UGAAUAGAGGCGCGGAUCUUAUGAUAAACGCAAAACGGGGUUAAGUGUUUUGCGCGGUAAAGGAAGAUUCGCCGAAGAGAAAGAUUUGCCCCGAAAUCUUUUGUCUGGGCGCAAGCGGAAUACGUUUGCGACUGUCGCGGGAAUUUUCCCGCGUUGCGCUAUUGA
Molecule: non-coding RNA, 165 nt
Filed under: bovine gut metagenome
Description: Lysine riboswitch
Rfam family: Lysine riboswitch aptamer
About the family: Riboswitches are metabolite binding domains within certain messenger RNAs that serve as precision sensors for their corresponding targets. Allosteric rearrangement of mRNA structure is mediated by ligand binding, and this results in modulation of gene expression.
Source: RNAcentral